AUCAAGCAUCGAUACGUCGUAGUCCAAUCUUAAACAUAGCCGCUAGAAUGAAUGGAAUAUACCCCAUUCAGUACCUAUGAGAAAUCAAAGUCUUGGGACCGGGGGAGUAUGUCGCAAGACUGAACCUAAAGAAAUUGACGAAGGGCACCACCAGGAGUGGAGCCUGCGCUUAAUUGACUCAACACGGGGAAGGUGGCCAGGUCCGGACAUAGUAACGAAUGACAGAUGAUAGCUCUCCAUGAAUAAUAAGAGGGGGUGGUGCAUGGCCGUUCUUAGUUGGUGGAGUGAUUUGUCUGGUUUUUCCUGGUGUGCGUUCGUGACGCCUGCUAACUAGAUAUUUUCAUUUUAUGAAUAUAUCACUUAGAGGGACUAUAUGCAAUAAAGUAUAUGGAAGUUUGAGGCAAUAACAGGUCUGUGAUGCCCUUAUAUGUCCAAGGGCUGCACGCGUGCUACACUGAUAUAUACAACAAGUGCCUAGCUAGAUAUAGUAUGGCAAUCUCGAAUAUAUAUCGUGAUGGGGAUAGAUCUUUGCAAUUAUAGAUCUUGAACGAGGAAUUCCUAGUAAGUGCAAGUCAUCAUCUUGCAUUGAUUAUGUCCCUGCCCUUUGUACACACCGCCCGUCGCUCCUACCGAUACCGGGUGAUCCGGUGAACCUGUGGACCCUUUUGGGAAAAAUAAGUAAAUCAUAUCACCUAGAGGAAGGAGAAGUC
RNAcentral lists this ribosomal RNA (710 nucleotides) under uncultured rumen protozoa. RNAcentral describes it as "bacterial SSU rRNA". It matches the Rfam family "Eukaryotic small subunit ribosomal RNA", at positions 997 to 1790 of the family's 1831-position model. The record is from RNAcentral.